GAUGAACGCUGGCGGCGUGCCUAACACAUGCAAGUCGAACGGAGUUACUUUGGUGAAGUUUUCGGAUGGAUCCGAUUUAACUUAGUGGCGGACGGGUGAGUAAUGCGUGAGCAACCUGCCCUUCAGAGGGGGACAACAGUUGGAAACGACUGCUAAUACCGCAUAACGUAUUCGGAAGGCAUCUUCUGAAUACCAAAGGAGAAAUCCGCUGAGGGAUGGGCUCACGUCUGAUUAGUUAGUUGGUGAGGUAACGGCUCACCAAGACUGCGAUCAGUAGCCGGACUGAGAGGUUGAACGGCCACAUUGGGACUGAGAUACGGCCCAGACUCCUACGGGAGGCAGCAGUGGGGAAUAUUGGGCAAUGGGCGAAAGCCUGACCCAGCAACGCCGCGUGAAGGAAGAAGGCCUUCGGGUUGUAAACUUCUUUUAAGAGGGACGAAGAAGUGACGGUACCUCUUGAAUAAGCCACGGCUAACUACGUGCCAGCAGCCGCGGUAAUACGUAGGUGGCGAGCGUUAUCCGGAUUUACUGGGUGUAAAGGGCGCGUAGGCGGGAAUGCAAGUCAGAUGUGAAAUCCAGGGGCUUAACCCUUGAACUGCAUUUGAAACUGUAUUUCUUGAGUGUCGGAGAGGUUGACGGAAUUCCUAGUGUAGCGGUGAAAUGCGUAGAUAUUAGGAGGAACACCAGUGGCGAAGGUGGUCAACUGGACGAUAACUGACGCUGAGGCGCGAAAGCGUGGGGAGCAAACAGGA
Molecule: ribosomal RNA, 752 nt
Filed under: uncultured bacterium
Lineage: Bacteria
Description: bacterial SSU rRNA
Rfam family: Bacterial small subunit ribosomal RNA
Source: RNAcentral